GGGCGCGUAGCUCAGUUGGCUAGAGCGCACGGUUCACAUCCGUGAGGUCACAGGUUCAAGUCCUGUCGCGCCCA
This 74-nucleotide transfer RNA is filed under the name Chloroflexota bacterium. RNAcentral's name for it is "tRNA-Val". It matches the Rfam family "tRNA". From Rfam's summary of the family: Transfer RNA (tRNA) molecules are approximately 80 nucleotides in length. Their secondary structure includes four short double-helical elements and three loops (D, anti-codon, and T loops). The record is from RNAcentral. Lineage: Bacteria; Bacillati; Chloroflexota. RNAcentral also lists the same sequence under 2 other names.